CGGAAACGGAGCGGCUGGAGGCGAAGGGAAUGAGGCUGGGCCCCAGGGCUGCGAGAAGGGGCGGACCUGGGCCCUCGCCCCGAACACCCCAGGGUCCUCAGGAACAAAACACACGCGCGCACGGUACAACUGGCAACCCGCAGCCGCAGCGGCAGGUGCACACCUGCGGCCGACGCUCCGUGCGCUCCGGGGUCCUGCACUCUGCGCCCCGCAUCCUCGCUUCCACUCGCUCUGCACCUGCCCCCGCCCCUAGGACACCCCAGCCGGCUCCAGCCGUGUCCCCCGCUCGGCCGACACCUGGCACCAGGCUGGUUUUCUCCAUUGCGCUGCCCUGGUUUCUGAGCCAAGCGGGCUGCGUUUCUAUUUGCUGUACUUCUGCUGGUCCUCAGCACUGGGAGGAGGAACUCAGGCUGUGCUCCGAGGGAGGAGAGGCAUGGGGGCCCGAGGACCAAUGACAACAGCUGCUUGCCUCCUUCCUUUCCACCCGGCCUGGCCGGUGCCCGACACGCCCGUGAGAUGCCACCACUCCUGCCCUUCGUCUUUGUAAGUUCUCUGCCACAGAAGCUGAACGAUGCCUUGGAAAGAAUUCUGGUUGGAUUCCAGGUCUGGCUAAAGCCAUGGGUCCCGUGAGAUGGUGGGCAAGUCAUCUCCCCUUUGGGAACCCUACUAUUCUUCCCUGUAAAAUAGGAAGGAAGAGUUGGAUUAAGUCAGUGUUUUCCAAAAUAUAAAACACAGCAAUGGUAGGAUGCCUAAUAGUCUUAGGGUCUCAAGACUAUUAAAUACCUUUGAAUCAGAUCGUGCUAUAGGUAUUUCCUUUUCUU
Molecule: long non-coding RNA, 821 nt
Filed under: Ursus americanus (American black bear)
Lineage: Eukaryota; Metazoa; Chordata; Mammalia; Carnivora; Ursidae
Description: lncRNA (ENSUAMG00000004467.1)
Source: RNAcentral